UUGCAGCUAAUGAGGCCGACCAGCUCUGCGUCUUCACUGCGGCCUGGUGUGCGGUGGCCGCCGACAGCAGCCUGCCCGGUAGUGCACAAGCCCUAGGACUUGGAUGGCCUGCCCUCAGGGCCCCCGGAGACAGAC
Small nucleolar RNA from Ochotona princeps (American pika), 135 nucleotides. Its record names the gene SNORA70. It matches the Rfam family "Small nucleolar RNA SNORA70". From Rfam's summary of the family: snoRNA U70 seems to be exclusive to mammals and is a member of the H/ACA class of snoRNA which contain H (ANANNA) and ACA box motifs. H/ACA box snoRNAs are involved in the conversion of uridines to pseudouridines (5-ribosyluracil) a constituent of structural RNAs (transfer, ribosomal, small nuclear, and small nucleolar). NCBI's taxonomy places the organism in Eukaryota, Metazoa, Chordata, Mammalia, Lagomorpha, Ochotonidae. The record is from Ensembl.